This is a long non-coding RNA of Maniola jurtina (meadow brown), 199 nucleotides long. RefSeq lists it as uncharacterized. The record is from RefSeq and is a predicted model, not a curated record. Lineage: Eukaryota; Metazoa; Arthropoda; Insecta; Lepidoptera; Nymphalidae. The transcript is spliced from 3 exons.
AAGUAUUGAUUCAAGUAGGAUAAUGCGGUAGAAAAUAAAAUGGAAUUAACUCCGCCCGAUAUUUUGAAUGAGGUGGAAAUCGCACACAAUGGUCUUUUGUAUUUUUAGAACUCUAGUUUUUUGACCUGUUUUCUCACAACUGUAUUGAACAACGCGAUGGAUAUUUAUUUUACACAGACGUUUAUUAUAAACUCGUGUU